This 510-nucleotide ribosomal RNA is filed under the name uncultured bacterium. RNAcentral describes it as "partial 16S ribosomal RNA". It matches the Rfam family "Bacterial small subunit ribosomal RNA", at positions 29 to 523 of the family's 1533-position model. The record is from RNAcentral.
AACGAACGUUAGCGGCGCGCCUAACACAUGCAAGUCGAACGCGACAGGGGCAACUCUGUUGAGUGGCGCACGGGUGAGUAACACGUAGGUAAUCUCCCCCCGAGUGGUGGAUAACCUUCCGAAAGGAGGGCUAAUACAGCAUAAGACCACGGCUUCGAAAGGAGCUGAGGUCAAAGCGGAGGAUCGCAAGACUUCGCGCUGGGGGAUGAGCCUGCGGCCCAUCAGGUAGUUGGCGGGGUAACAGCCCACCAAGCCUAAGACGGGUAGCGGGUCUGAGAGGAUGAUCAGCCACACUGGAACUGAGACACGGUCCAGACUCCUACGGGAGGCAGCAGUGGGGAAUCUUGCGCAAUGGACGAAAGUCUGACGCAGCGACGCCGCGUGGGUGAUGAAGGCCUUCGGGUUGUAAAGCCCUGUGGGGAGGGACGAAUAAGUUUCAGCUAAUACCUGAAGCGAUGACGGUACCUCCUUAGCAAGCACCGGCUAACUCUGUGCCAGCCGCCGCAGUAA